GGCCGGGCCUAGCUGUCAUUCCACCUGCCGGCCUGCAGGUGGCGGUAUUCCCCAGGCUGAGAGGAUCACCGCUCCUGGUUCAUUUUAAACGGCUUCAACGAAACAUCUACCGCAAAACUAACUGCUCAGUUUAAUAAAAGGAAAAUAGAUCAAGAUGAAAGCGGGAAGUUUUUCGUUGAGUAACGAAGAAACGAAUAUUUUAGGAGGAAGUUCAGAUCCAGAAGUUUUUCUGCUUUAGUCUGUUUUUUUUUCUUCUCAUGCAGGAAUCACGCUGUUUGCUUCGUUUUCGUUAAAAACUGCAAAGCAACCAGUGAUUAUGCAAUGCUUCCUGACUGAAAGAUGCAUUCAAUGAUGGCUGAAUGCCGCCGGAGGAACUUCCUGUUUCCAUGAUGUCAGCGCAGGAAGCCAGAGGCACCUGCCUGUCAGGUCUGACAGGCUGACUCCAGCUGAGCAAAUCAAACCUGGUGGGAUUAGAUCCUCCUGGCAGUGUUGAGUAAGGGUAGGACAUUAGCGUCAGCUAACAUAGCCCUUCUGCAGCUAAAGGAGGCAGAUCUAGAAUAUCACUUUCUACUGCUGUUUAUUGGCUCUGUGAGAAAUGGAGGAACAGGAGUGGCUCAGAGUCUUCCUGUUUAAAAGAAAUUCAUGUGGUGACAUCGCUUUGAUGAAAGGACUGGAGAACGGUCUGCAG
This is a long non-coding RNA of Cyprinodon tularosa, 688 nucleotides long. RefSeq lists it as uncharacterized. Lineage: Eukaryota; Metazoa; Chordata; Actinopteri; Cyprinodontiformes; Cyprinodontidae. The record is from RefSeq and is a predicted model, not a curated record. The transcript is spliced from 3 exons.